Molecule: ribosomal RNA, 506 nt
Filed under: uncultured bacterium
Lineage: Bacteria
Description: partial 16S ribosomal RNA
Rfam family: Bacterial small subunit ribosomal RNA
Source: RNAcentral
AUUGAACGCUGGCGGCAGGCCUAACACAUGCAAGUCGAACGGUAACAGGAAACAGCUUGCUGUUUCGCUGACGAGUGGCGGACGGGUGAGUAAUGUCUGGGAAACUGCCUGAUGGAGGGGGAUAACUACUGGAAACGGUAGCUAAUACCGCAUAACGUCGCAAGACCAAAGAGGGGGACCUUCGGGCCUCUUGCCAUCGGAUGUGCCCAGAUGGGAUUAGCUUGUUGGUGGGGUAACGGCUCACCAAGGCGACGAUCCUUAGCUGGUCUGAGAGGAUGACCAGCCACACUGGAACUGAGACACGGUCCAGACUCCUACGGGAGGCAGCAGUGGGGAAUAUUGCACAAUGGGCGCAAGCCUGAUGCAGCCAUGCCGCGUGUAUGAAGAAGGCCUUCGGGUUGUAAAGCACUUUCAGCGGGGAGGAAGGGAGUAAAGUUAAUACCUUUACUCAUUGACGUUACCCGCAGAAGAAGCACCGACUAACUCCGUGCCAGCCGCCGCCGUAA